GCCAAACGUCAAGAUUAAGUUACACUUCAUGGCUGAGUUCCUUUAACAUUUACGGCUGACUUAGUAAUUGGGGUUUAGGGUUGCUUAUUUAGGGUUUAGAUUUGCUUUUUUGGGAAUUUAGGUUUAGGAUUUGGAUUUAUGGUGCAAGAAAUAUAAUAAAUAACACAAAUUCAUAAUAAAUAACACAAGAAUAGUUUACGAGUUUUGAAUUAUGCUCACACCUUAUAUCUAAAUGUAAG
RNAcentral lists this long non-coding RNA (239 nucleotides) under Brassica napus (rape). Its description in RNAcentral is "long non-coding RNA (BNAP_LNC021557)". The record is from RNAcentral. Lineage: Eukaryota; Viridiplantae; Streptophyta; Magnoliopsida; Brassicales; Brassicaceae.